CGGGGCGUAGCGCAGUCUGGUAGCGCACUAGUCUGGGGGACUAGUGGUCGCAGGUUCAAAUCCUGUCGUCCCGACCA
RNAcentral lists this transfer RNA (77 nucleotides) under Gammaproteobacteria bacterium 28-57-27. RNAcentral's name for it is "tRNA-Pro". It matches the Rfam family "tRNA". Rfam says of the family: Transfer RNA (tRNA) molecules are approximately 80 nucleotides in length. Lineage: Bacteria; Pseudomonadati; Pseudomonadota; Gammaproteobacteria. RNAcentral also lists the same sequence under 2 other names. The record is from RNAcentral.